ACGCACGCUGGCGGCGUGCUUCACCCCUGCAAGUCGCACGGAAAGGCCCUGCUUUUGUGGGGUGCUCGAGUGGCGAACGGGUGAGUAACACGUGAGUAACCUGCCCUUGACUUUGGGACAACUUCAAGAAACUGGGGCUAAUACCGGAUAGGAGCUCCUGCUGCAUGGUGGGGGUUGGAAAGUUUCGGCGGUUGGGGAUGGACUCGCGGCUUAUCAGCUUGUUGGUGGGGUAGUGGCUUACCAAGGCUUUGACGGGUAGCCGGCCUGAGAGGGUGACCGGCCACAUUGGGACUGAGAUACGGCCCAGACUCCUACGGGAGGCAGCAGUGGGGAAUAUUGCACAAUGGGCGGAAGCCUGAUGCAGCAACGCCGCGUGCGGGAUGACGGCCUUCGGGUUGUAAACCGCUUUCGCCUGUGACGAAGCGUGAGUGACGGUAAUGGGUAAAGAAGCACCGGCUAACUACGUG
Molecule: ribosomal RNA, 467 nt
Filed under: uncultured bacterium
Lineage: Bacteria
Description: partial 16S ribosomal RNA
Rfam family: Bacterial small subunit ribosomal RNA
Source: RNAcentral